GAACCAGCAGCUCCCAUGAGGCAAAUUUACACCGUAACUUCGGGAGAAGGUGUGCCGCUGGCGGUUAGUGACUUCGCGUCACGAAGCUGUCGGUGGUCGCAGUGAAAUGGCGGUUGUGACUGUUUACUAAAAACACAGGACUCUGCGAAGUCGUAAGACGACGUAUAGGGUCUGAUGCCUGCCCGGUGCUGGAAGGUUAAGGGGAUAUGUCAGCGCAAGCGAAGCAUUGAACCGAAGCCCCAGUAAACGGCGGCCGUAACUAUAACGGUCCUAAGGUAGCGAAAUUCCUUGUCGGGUAAGUUCCGACCUGCACGAGGGCAUAACAACAUCCGCACUGUCUCGACCAGGGACUCAGCGAAAUUACAUUGGGGGUGAAGAUGCCCUCUACCCGCGGAAAGACGGAAAGACCCCAUGAACCUUUACUGCAACUUGGCAGUGAUUUUCGGGUUGUUCUGCGUAGGAUAGGUGGGAGGCUUUGAAGCCGGGCUUCCGGGUUCGGCAGAGCCAACGUUGAAAUACCACCCUGAAUAAUCUGGAAAUCUAACCUGCGCCCAUGAUCUGGGCGAGGGACACUGCCUGGUGGGCAGUUUGACUGGGGCGGUCGCCUCCUAAAUUGUAACGGAGGCGUGCGACGGUUCCCUCAGGCUGAUUGGAAACCAGCCGUAGAGUGCAAACGCAUAAGGGAGCUUUACUGCGAGACUGACAAGUCGAACAGUUGCGAAAGCAGGUGUUAGUGAUCCGGUGGUACCACACGGAAGGGCCAUCGCUCAUCGGAUAAAAGGUACUCUGGGGAUAACAGGCUGAUCGCGCCUGAGAGUUCACAUCGGCGGCGCGGUUUGGCACCUCGAUGUCGGCUCAUCGCAUCCUGGGGCUGGAGCAGGUCCCAAGGGUUUGGCUGUUCGCCAAUUAAAGCGGUACGCGAGCUGGGUUUAAAACGUCGUGAGACAGUUUGGUCCCUAUCUUCCGUGGGCGCAGGACACUUGAGAGGAGCUAUCCAUAGUACGAGAGGACCUGGAUGGACGAACCUCUGGUGCUCCGGUUGUCACGCCAGUGGCAUAGCCGGGUAGCCAUGUUCGGAACAGAUAACCGCUGAAGGCAUAUAAGCGGGAAGCUGGCCUCAAGACUAGGUGUCCCUGACGCAAGUCACUAAAGGCCCCUCGAAGACUACGAGGUUGAUAGGCUCGGUGUGGAAGCGCUGCGAGGCGUGGAGCUAACGAGUACUAAUAGGCCGUGCGACUUGACCCC
Molecule: ribosomal RNA, 1245 nt
Filed under: metagenome
Description: bacterial LSU rRNA
Rfam family: Bacterial large subunit ribosomal RNA
Source: RNAcentral